Molecule: ribosomal RNA, 658 nt
Filed under: uncultured Anaeromyxobacter sp.
Lineage: Bacteria; Pseudomonadati; Myxococcota; Myxococcia; Myxococcales; Anaeromyxobacteraceae
Description: bacterial SSU rRNA
Rfam family: Bacterial small subunit ribosomal RNA
Source: RNAcentral
CUUCGGAUCGUAAACUCCUGUCAGACGGGACGAAGGCGUGAGGGUAAAUAAUCCUUACGUUUGACGGUACCGUCAGAGGAAGCCCCGGCUAACUCCGUGCCAGCAGCCGCGGUAAUACGGAGGGGGCGAGCGUUAUUCGGAAUUAUUGGGCGUAAAGGGCGCGUAGGCGGCUUGGCAAGUCAAAGGUGAAAUCCCUCGGCUCAACUGAGGAACUGCCUUUGAAACUGCCUGGCUUGAGGCCGGGAGGGGGUAGCGGAAUUCCCAGUGUAGCGGUGAAAUGCGUAGAUAUCGGGAGGAACACCAGUGGCGAAGGCGGCCGACUGGACCUGACCUGACGCUGAGGCGCGAAGGCGUGGGGAGCGAACGGGAUUAGAUACCCCGGUAGUCCACGCAGUAAACGAUGUGCACUAGGUGUCGCGGGUGUUGACCCCUGCGGUGCCGGCGCUAACGCAGUAAGUGCACCGCCUGGGGAGUACGGCCGCAAGGCUAAAACUCAAAGGAAUUGACGGGGCCCCGCACAAGCAGCGGAGCGUGUGGUUUAAUUCGACGCAACGCGAAGAACCUUACCAGGACUUGACAUCCCAGGAAUCCUGCUGAAAGGUGGGAGUGCUCUUCUUACAUCCCGGAUACAGGUGCUGCAUGGCUGUCGUCAGCUCGU